Molecule: ribosomal RNA, 119 nt
Filed under: Ricinus communis (castor bean)
Lineage: Eukaryota; Viridiplantae; Streptophyta; Magnoliopsida; Malpighiales; Euphorbiaceae
Source: RNAcentral
GGGUGCGAUCAUACCAGCACUAAUACACUGGAUCCCAUCAGAACUCCGAAGUUAAACGUGCUUGGGCGAGAGUAGUACUAAGAUGGGUGACCUCUUGGGAAGUCAUCGUGUUGCACCCC